AGGAUGAACGCUGGCGGUAUGCUUAACACAUGCAAGUCGAACGGUGUUUUCGGACACAGUGGCGGACGGGUGAGUAACGCGUGAGAAUCUGGCUCUAGGUCGGGGACAACCACUGGAAACGGUGGCUAAUACCGGAUGUGCCGAGAGGUGAAAGGCUUGCUGCCUAGAGAUGAGCUCGCGUCUGAUUAGCUAGUAGGUGGGGUAAGAGCCUACCUAGGCGACGAUCAGUAGCUGGUCUGAGAGGAUGAUCAGCCACACUGGGACUGAGACACGGCCCAGACUCCUACGGGAGGCAGCAGUGGGGAAUUUUCCGCAAUGGGCGAAAGCCUGACGGAGCAAUACCGCGUGAGGGAGGAAGGCUCUUGGGUUGUAAACCUCUUUUCUCAGGGAAGAACACAAUGACGGUACCUGAGGAAUCAGCAUCGGCUAACUCCGUGCCAGCAGCCGCGGUAAUACGGAGGAUGCAAGCGUUAUCCGGAAUGAUUGGGCGUAAAGCGUCCGCAGGUGGCUAUGUAAGUCUGCUGUUAAAGAGUGAGGCUCAACCUCAUAAGAGCAGUGGAAACUACAUAGCUAGAGUGCGUUCGGGGCAGAGGGAAUUCCUGGUGUAGCGGUGAAAUGCGUAGAUAUCAGGAAGAACACCGGUGGCGAAAGCGCUCUGCUAGGCCGCAACUGACACUGAGGGACGAAAGCUAGGGGAGCGAAUGGGUUUAGAUACCCCAGUAGUCCUAGCCGUAAACGAUGGAUACUAGGCGUGGCUUGUAUCGACCCGAGCCGUGCCGUAGCUAACGCGUUAAGUAUCCCGCCUGGGGAGUACGCACGCAAGUGUGAAACUUA
RNAcentral lists this ribosomal RNA (834 nucleotides) under uncultured bacterium. RNAcentral's name for it is "bacterial SSU rRNA". It matches the Rfam family "Bacterial small subunit ribosomal RNA", at positions 26 to 903 of the family's 1533-position model. The record is from RNAcentral.